This is a long non-coding RNA of Vespa velutina, 1425 nucleotides long. RefSeq lists it as uncharacterized. The transcript is spliced from 3 exons. The record is from RefSeq and is a predicted model, not a curated record. Lineage: Eukaryota; Metazoa; Arthropoda; Insecta; Hymenoptera; Vespidae.
CUUUCGAUGAUGGUUUCGUAUUGAUUACUCGAAAACUUCUCGGAAUGCGAUUUCAAUAAGCGACCACUCUAGGAAUCAUAAACUAACGGAUAUGAAACAAUUUAGUAGGGAUGAAUCGCAUCGCGGAAUCGCUCGUGGGGAUCAAACCGUAGCGUUUUACGCGCGAGAACGCAGAGUCGCGUGCGUCCAAGAGUCAACGUUUCGUCGAGUAGUUCGUUUCCGGUAUACACAGAAUCAAUUUCCGUUGAGUAAAUAGCUCCUGGAUACUUCGAAUCUGUUAUAAACGCACGCACCUGUAUUGUUUCCUUCGUCAACGUACUGAAUGAUACAUCCUAGUCGAAUCUGCGAAAGAAAAUAAAUUUUUAUGAAUCAGAAACAGUGAUCUUGUUAGAUUGAAAGAACAUAUUCGAUACAAAUAAGGAUAAGUAAUAUAAUAGAAUUGUCACGUUUUUAUUUUGAAAUCAAAGUUGUCGAAACGUGUGGUUUCUGAAACGACGUCUUUGUUUGUUCGGAUACUGGACACCAAAGGAAUCACCGUCACCAGAACUGGAUGCCAUAAUACUUUCUCUUUGCUCCUUCCCUCGAAAGCUCGAGUUGUUUUUAUCUAAAGUAAAAAUAUUCUCAAGAGUUGACGAUUGCGAAAAACAAUAGAAGCGGUCAUCUUCGUCGUCGUAAAAGUGCAAUGGGUGUUUGUGCAAGGAAAUCCGAUUUUCAUUCAAGUAUUCCUUUUUAUGGAUGGCAAGGAUGGAGUUUUCUAACUUUUAUCGCUAUCAUUGUUUUAAUCGCCAUUAUUUACAACAAUUAUUUGCGCAAAUCAUCCUAGAUUUAAUGGAAUCCGCCUAAAAACAGAUGGAGACUUGCAUAUUUCAAAGAAUAAUAAGGGGUCUAAUUACUUGAAUGCAAACUAUCUUAGUCAGGAAAUGAUAAAUUUACUCAUCAAGCAACAAAUUUUAUAACAGAAUGUAUGCCAUCAUCUAUAGACCAACUUGAUUAAGUACACUGCUUCAAAAAUCAAAGUACUGUUAAAUAAACCUAUAUGAAUUCGAUUAUAAUGGGAAUAAUGUAAUUAAACUAACCAAACGUGGAGAUCUCGGAAAUGGACGUUGGUAAAGGUACUUGGACGUUUCCACACAAAUACGGGCUCAUAAUAUAUUUUUCUUUCCCUUCGAUAAUCCUAACGGCAGAUAAUCUGAUUUUUCGUAUGGAAAAUAAUUCAGAAAAAAACCAUGAAUAUUUAAUGAAUCCUUUAAUAUAGGAAUUACAGGGAUAUGUUUGAACAGUAAAAAUAAUAGACGCUAUCAUUGUAGAAAUAAGAUUAAACAUAUGUAAUAAAUGCUAUUAACAUUUAUAAACGCUGUUAUUAUAUUGGAGAAAUUAUUCUCUCUUGAAUCUGUAUAAUGUACACUUUUCGAAUAAAUUAAUUAU